Long non-coding RNA from Trachemys scripta elegans, 312 nucleotides. RefSeq lists it as uncharacterized. NCBI's taxonomy places the organism in Eukaryota, Metazoa, Chordata, Testudines, Emydidae. The record is from RefSeq and is a predicted model, not a curated record. The transcript is spliced from 3 exons.
GGGCUUGUGUCCUUCCAAUCCCAUUGGUGGCUGCACAGUGGGCAGAGUCCUCGCUGCGUGCCUGGCCCAACAGAAUUGCAGGGCGUGGUGUGGAACACAGAAAGAGAUAGAGAGACUCAUCCUCCAGCCGGGGCAAUUAGCAAGGACUCAUGGCAGGAUGACAGCUGGCUCUUCAAUCCAUGACUUUAGCUGAUCUACCUGCACUUGGGCGGUGUCCUUCUCCAUGCCCAGGGUGAAGACGGCGUGCAGGGCAGCUCGAAGGAGUCUCUUCUUUCUAGGAGUCCCCAGGGCUAAGGUAAAACCCCUGCGACC